This 110-nucleotide ribosomal RNA is filed under the name Callithrix jacchus (white-tufted-ear marmoset). The record is from RNAcentral. Lineage: Eukaryota; Metazoa; Chordata; Mammalia; Primates; Cebidae.
GUCUAUGUCCACACAACCCUGAAUGCACCUGAUCUGGUCUGAUCUCAGAAGCUAAGCAACGUCAGGAUGGGUUAGUACUUGGAUGGGAGAUAAGGCUAAUAGCGCAUGUC